ACGAACGCUGGCGGCGUGCCUAAUACAUGCAAGUUGAGCGCUGAAGGUUGGUACUUGUACCCACUGGAUGAGCAGCGAACGGGUGAGUAACGCGUGGGGAAUCUGCCUUUGAGCGGGGGACAACAUUUGGAAACGAAUGCUAAUACCGCAUAAAAACUUUAAACACAAGUUUUAAGUUUGAAAGAUGCAAUUGCAUCACUCAAAGAUGAUCCCGCGUUGUAUUAGCUAGUUGGUGAGGUAAAGGCUCACCAAGGCGAUGAUACAUAGCCGACCUGAGAGGGUGAUCGGCCACAUUGGGACUGAGACACGGCCCAAACUCCUACGGGAGGCAGCAGUAGGGAAUCUUCGGCAAUGGACGAAAGUCUGACCAAGCAACGCCGCGUGAGUGAAGAAGGUUUUCGGAUCGUAAAACUCUGUUGGUAGAGAAGAACGUUGGUGAGAGUGGAAAGCUCAUCAAGUGACGGUAACUACCCAGAAAGGGACGGCUAACUACGUG
This 496-nucleotide ribosomal RNA is filed under the name uncultured bacterium. Its description in RNAcentral is "partial 16S ribosomal RNA". It matches the Rfam family "Bacterial small subunit ribosomal RNA", at positions 29 to 507 of the family's 1533-position model. The record is from RNAcentral.